GCCGGGUGUGGUGGCUCACGCCUGUAAUCCCAGCACUUUGGGAGGCUGAGACGGGUGGAUCACCUGAGGUCAGGAGUUCAAGACCAGCCUGGCCAACAUGAUGAAACCCCGUCUCCA
This is an unclassified non-coding RNA of Macaca fascicularis (crab-eating macaque), 117 nucleotides long. It matches the Rfam family "Metazoan signal recognition particle RNA". Rfam says of the family: The signal recognition particle (SRP) is a universally conserved ribonucleoprotein. It is involved in the co-translational targeting of proteins to membranes. The eukaryotic SRP consists of a 300-nucleotide 7S RNA and six proteins: SRPs 72, 68, 54, 19, 14, and 9. The record is from Ensembl. Lineage: Eukaryota; Metazoa; Chordata; Mammalia; Primates; Cercopithecidae.